Sapajus apella (tufted capuchin) is the source of this 345-nucleotide long non-coding RNA. RefSeq lists it as uncharacterized. Lineage: Eukaryota; Metazoa; Chordata; Mammalia; Primates; Cebidae. The record is from RefSeq and is a predicted model, not a curated record. The transcript is spliced from 2 exons.
AGAAAGAAACCAGCUUGGCGAAGUUUCUGCCUUUGUGACUGUCUCCUAAUGCAGAAACCAAGGCACCUCAGAAGAUCAAGGCUUCUAAAUUCUCCUGGGGGAACAGACGUCAGCCACCCGGCACAAAGGAAACUUCCUUUUCUGUGUCAGAGGAAGACAUAAUUGUGCCAUUUGCUUCUUGAAGAAGUUUACAAACAUUUGCAAGUUGUCAAAAAUAAUUAGUCUAAAAUUGUUUCAUAAACCAUGGAAUGAAACAGUACGUGCCUUGUUGAGAUCAAAGGGCUUCUGUUACCUUCUUGUAAAUCCAAAUGAAAUUCUUUUGAAAGUAAACUCUUGGAAUUAGCA